GAUCUGCUUGUGUUGUUCAGGUCCAUGCACAAAUGUAUCUCGCCCUCCACUCCCUGAAAGCAAUGGGCGUCAUGACGAAUGCGGUAGUGGCAUGGGAAGCGAUGAAGACCAGGAGGAGGUAAGCUGGCAUGCUGACAUACAUAGUGAUUGAAUGACUUAUCGAAUGCUAUCCAUAGCCAGUCACCUGCAAUUCAGGGUUAUCAAUCCGGGUUGCUUAUUUUACAGAGACGAAGAUGAAUUGGACGUGUCUGAAGUGAGCAAUUCGCCCUCCUGCAGGAGGCUGAGGCAAUGGCACAGCUCGCACCACGAGAAGAAUGUUCCAGCAGCGGGGCUACAGUGAUGGUUGAUUGGCGGAGCAGUGGGUCUCACGAAGGCAGUCAAGAGGAAGAUUCUUCUGCCUUAAAUCCAGAGCACUUUCUCAACUUCAGUUUCAAGAACCUGGAGCUGCUCGGCGAGCGAAAUCUGGAAAUGGCAGAAUCUUCUUUUGAUGAAUUGCGAACAGAGUUUGCCAGUACAGAUCCUUAUGAUUAAAACUCUUGCUUGGCACUUUCUAGCACACUCUGCUCCCUGAGAUGAUUAGCAUAUUAUUACAAAUUCAUGCUUGAGGACAGAGGACGGGCAGGAGCCAGAUAGGAAAACCAAAAUUGCGUUUGUAGACAAGCUACCGUGCAAUAUCCG
Molecule: long non-coding RNA, 678 nt
Filed under: Coccomyxa subellipsoidea
Lineage: Eukaryota; Viridiplantae; Chlorophyta; Trebouxiophyceae; Coccomyxaceae
Description: long non-coding RNA (CSUB_LNC000029)
Source: RNAcentral